RNAcentral lists this ribosomal RNA (481 nucleotides) under uncultured bacterium. RNAcentral describes it as "partial 16S ribosomal RNA". It matches the Rfam family "Bacterial small subunit ribosomal RNA", at positions 28 to 507 of the family's 1533-position model. The record is from RNAcentral.
GAUGAACGCUGGCGGCGUGCUUAACACAUGCAAGUCGAACGAAGCACUUUAUUUGAUUUCCUUCGGGACUGAUUAUUUUGUGACUGAGUGGCGGACGGGUGAGUAACGCGUGGGUAACCUGCCUUGUACAGGGGGAUAACAGUUGGAAACGGCUGCUAAUACCGCAUAAGCGCACAGCAUCGCAUGAUGCAGUGUGAAAAACUCCGGUGGUAUAAGAUGGACCCGCGUUGGAUUAGCUAGUUGGUGAGGUAACGGCCCACCAAGGCGACGAUCCAUAGCCGACCGUGUAGGGUGACCGGCCACAUUGGGACUGGGACACGGCCCAAACGCCUACGGGAGGCAGCAGUGGGGAAUAUUGCACAAUGGGCGAAAGCCGGAUGCAGCGACGCCGCGUGAGCGAAGAAGUAUUGCGGUAUGUAAUGCUCUAUCAGCAGGGAAGUUAAUGACGUUACCUGACUAAGAAGCACCGGCUAAAUACGUG